GCGUCGGUGGUAUAACGGUUAGCAUAGCUGCCUUCCAAGUAGUUGACUCGGUUCGACUCCCGGCCGACGCA
RNAcentral lists this transfer RNA (71 nucleotides) under Caerostris darwini. Its description in RNAcentral is "tRNA-Gly". It matches the Rfam family "tRNA". Rfam says of the family: Transfer RNA (tRNA) molecules are approximately 80 nucleotides in length. Their secondary structure includes four short double-helical elements and three loops (D, anti-codon, and T loops). Lineage: Eukaryota; Metazoa; Arthropoda; Arachnida; Araneae; Araneidae. The record is from RNAcentral.